UGGGGAAUAUUGCACAAUGGGCGGAAGCCUGAUGCAGCAACGCCGCGUGCGGGAUGACGGCCUUCGGGUUGUAAACCGCUUUCGCCUGUGACGAAGCGUGAGUGACGGUAAUAGGUAAAGAAGCACCGGCUAACUACGUGCCAGCAGCCGCGGUGAUACGUAGGGUGCGAGCGUUGUCCGGAUUUAUUGGGCGUAAAGGGCUCGUAGGUGGUUGAUCGCGUCGGAAGUGUAAUCUUGGGGCUUAACCCUGAGCGUGCUUUCGAUACGGGUUGACUUGAGGAAGGUAGGGGAGAAAAAAAAAAAAAUUUUUUAGCGGUGGAAUGCGCAGAUAUCAGGAGGAACACCAGUGGCGAAGGCGGUUCUCUGGGCCUUUCCUGACGCUGAGGAGCGAAAGCGUGGGGAGCGAACAGGCUUAGAUACCCUGGUAGUCCACGCUGUAAACGGUGGGUACUAGGUGUGGGGUCCAUUCCACGGGUUCCGUGCCGUAGCUAACGCUUUAAGUACCCCGCCUGGGGAGUACGGCCGCAAGGCUA
Molecule: ribosomal RNA, 533 nt
Filed under: uncultured bacterium
Lineage: Bacteria
Description: partial 16S rRNA
Rfam family: Bacterial small subunit ribosomal RNA
Source: RNAcentral